UACGGAGGGUGCGAGCGUUGUCCGGAAUCACUGGGCGUAAAGGGCGCGUAGGCGGCGCGGUAAGUCCGUGGUGAAAGCCCGAGGCUCAACUUCGGGUCGGCCAUGGAUACUCCUGGGCUUGAGCACUGUAGAGGCAGGUGGAAUUCCGGGUGUAGCGGUGGAAUGCGUAGAGAUCCGGAAGAACACCGGUGGCGAAGGCGGCCUGCUGGGCAGUAGCUGACGCUGAGGCGCGACAGCGUGGGGAGCAAACAGG
This 253-nucleotide ribosomal RNA is filed under the name uncultured bacterium. RNAcentral's name for it is "partial 16S ribosomal RNA". It matches the Rfam family "Bacterial small subunit ribosomal RNA", at positions 524 to 776 of the family's 1533-position model. The record is from RNAcentral.